RNAcentral lists this ribosomal RNA (448 nucleotides) under Candidatus Mycoplasma turicense. RNAcentral describes it as "bacterial SSU rRNA". It matches the Rfam family "Bacterial small subunit ribosomal RNA", at positions 194 to 660 of the family's 1533-position model. The record is from RNAcentral. Lineage: Bacteria; Bacillati; Mycoplasmatota; Mollicutes; Mycoplasmatales; Mycoplasmataceae. RNAcentral also lists the same sequence under 1 other name.
GGGGGAUUUAAAGGUGAAAACCGCCGGAGGAUUGGAAUAUGUCCUAUUAGCUAGUUGGCGGGAUAAAAGCCCACCAAGGCGAUGAUAGGUAGCUGGUCUAAGAGGAUGAACAGCCACAAUGGGAUUGAGAUACGGCCCAUAUUCCUACGGGAAGCAGCAGUAGGGAAUCUUCCACAAUGGGCGAAAGCCUGAUGGAGCAAUGCCAUGUGAACGAUGAAGGCCAGACAGGUCGUAAAGUUCUUUUAGAGGGGAAAAAUUUGAUGGUACCCUCUGAAUAAGUGACAGCAAACUAUGUGCCAGCAGCUGCGGUAAUACAUAGGUCGCGAGCGUUAUUCGGAUUUAUUGGGCGUAAAGCAAGCGCAGGCGGAUGAAUAAGUUCUGCAUUAAAAGCAGCUGCUUAACAGUUGUUUGUGCCGAAUACUAUUCAUCUAGAAUGUGGUAGGAAGUU